This 393-nucleotide ribosomal RNA is filed under the name uncultured Pusillimonas sp. RNAcentral describes it as "bacterial SSU rRNA". It matches the Rfam family "Bacterial small subunit ribosomal RNA", at positions 985 to 1382 of the family's 1533-position model. Lineage: Bacteria; Pseudomonadati; Pseudomonadota; Betaproteobacteria; Burkholderiales; Alcaligenaceae. The record is from RNAcentral.
CAUGUCUGGAAGGCCGAAGAGAUUUGGCUGUGCUCGCAAGAGAACCGGAACACAGGUGCUGCAUGGCUGUCGUCAGCUCGUGUCGUGAGAUGUUGGGUUAAGUCCCGCAACGAGCGCAACCUUUGUCAUUAGUUGCUACGAAAGGGCACUCUAAUGAGACUGCCGGUGACAAACCGGAGGAAGGUGGGGAUGACGUCAAGUCCUCAUGGCCCUUAUGGGUAGGGCUUCACACGUCAUACAAUGGUCGGGACAGAGGGUCGCCAACCCGCGAGGGGGAGCCAAUCCCAGAAACCCGAUCGUAGUCCGGAUUGCAGGCUGCAACUCGCCUGCAUGAAGUCGGAAUCGCUAGUAAUCGCGGAUCAGCAUGUCGCGGUGAAUACGUUCCCGGGUCUU